RNAcentral lists this transfer RNA (73 nucleotides) under Canis lupus familiaris (dog). It matches the Rfam family "tRNA". Rfam says of the family: Transfer RNA (tRNA) molecules are approximately 80 nucleotides in length. Their secondary structure includes four short double-helical elements and three loops (D, anti-codon, and T loops). Further hydrogen bonds mediate the characteristic L-shaped molecular structure. tRNAs have two regions of fundamental functional importance: the anti-codon, which is responsible for specific mRNA codon recognition, and the 3' end, to which the tRNAs corresponding amino acid is attached (by aminoacyl-tRNA synthetases). tRNAs cope with the degeneracy of the genetic code in two manners: having more than one tRNA (with a specific anti-codon) for a particular amino acid; and 'wobble' base-pairing, i.e. permitting non-standard base-pairing at the 3rd anti-codon position. Lineage: Eukaryota; Metazoa; Chordata; Mammalia; Carnivora; Canidae. The record is from Rfam by way of RNAcentral. RNAcentral also lists the same sequence under 2 other names.
GCCUGGCUGGCUCUAUCCAUAGAGCAUGUGACUCUUGAUCAUGGGGCUGUGAGUUCAAGCCCCAUGUUGGGUG